RNAcentral lists this ribosomal RNA (514 nucleotides) under uncultured bacterium. RNAcentral describes it as "bacterial SSU rRNA". It matches the Rfam family "Bacterial small subunit ribosomal RNA", at positions 28 to 527 of the family's 1533-position model. The record is from RNAcentral.
GACGAACGCUGGCGGCGUGCCUAACACAUGCAAGUCGAGCGGUCUUAUAGCGAGAAGUGACUUGUCACUUCAUGCUACAAGAUAGCGGCGGACGGGUGAGUAACACGUGGGUAACCUGCCUUAUACAAAGGGAUAACACCGGGAAACCGGUGCUAAUACCGUAUAACAUAUAUCUUGGGCAUCUGAGAUAUAUCAAAGGCAUAUCGUAAAGGUAAGCCGGUAUAAGAUGGGCCCGCGUCCGAUUAGCUAGUUGGUGGGGUAAAAGCUUACCAAGGCAACGAUCGGUAGCCGGACUGAGAGGUUGACCGGCCACAUUGGGACUGAGACACGGCCCAGACUCCUACGGGAGGCAGCAGUGGGGAAUAUUGCGCAAUGGGGGAACCCUGACGCAGCGACGCCGCGUGAAGGAAGAAGGUCUUCGGAUUGUAAACUUCUUUGACUGGGGACGAAGGAAGUGACGGUACCCAGAUAACAAGCCACGGCUAACUACGUGCCAGCAGCCGCGGUAAUCACG